CCUACGGGUGGCAGCAGUGAGGAAUAUUGGUCAAUGGGCGAGAGCCUGAACCAGCCAAGUCGCGUGAAGGAUGACGGCCCUACGGGUUGUAAACUUCUUUUAUAUGGGAAUAAAAUGUUCCACGUGUGGGAUUUUGUAUGUACCAUAUGAAUAAGGAUCGGCUAACUCCGUGCCAGCAGCCGCGGUAAUACGGAGGAUCCGAGCGUUAUCCGGAUUUAUUGGGUUUAAAGGGAGCGUAGGUGGAUUGUUAAGUCAGUUGUGAAAGUUUGCGGCUCAACCGUAAAAUUGCAGUUGAAACUGGCAGUCUUGAGUACAGUAGAGGUGGGCGGAAUUCGUGGUGUAGCGGUGAAAUGCUUAGAUAUCACGAAGAACUCCGAUUGCGAAGGCAGCUCACUGGACUGCAACUGACACUGAGGCUCGAAAGUGUGGGUAUCAAACAGGAUUAGAUACCCGGGUAGUC
RNAcentral lists this ribosomal RNA (460 nucleotides) under uncultured bacterium. Its description in RNAcentral is "partial 16S ribosomal RNA". It matches the Rfam family "Bacterial small subunit ribosomal RNA", at positions 338 to 795 of the family's 1533-position model. The record is from RNAcentral.